UGCGUAGGCGGUUUGAUCAGUCAGUGGUGAAAGUUUGCAGCUUAACUGUAAAAUUGCCAUUGAUACUGUCAGACUUGAGUACAGAUGAGGUAGGCGGAAUGUGUAGUGUAGCGGUGAAAUGCUUAGAUAUUACACAGAACACCGAUUGCGAAGGCAGCUUACUAAACUGAAACUGACGCUGAGGCACGAAAGUGUGGGGAUCAAACAGGAUUAGAUACCCGAGUAGUCC
This 229-nucleotide ribosomal RNA is filed under the name uncultured bacterium. RNAcentral's name for it is "partial 16S ribosomal RNA". It matches the Rfam family "Bacterial small subunit ribosomal RNA", at positions 568 to 796 of the family's 1533-position model. The record is from RNAcentral.